UUUGUUUUAGCCUGAGCUAUGAGUCAUCGGAAUAUGCAUAGCUUCUUGCUAAAACAUGCC
RNAcentral lists this microRNA precursor (60 nucleotides) under Caenorhabditis elegans. RNAcentral describes it as "Cel-Mir-355_pre stem-loop". Lineage: Eukaryota; Metazoa; Nematoda; Chromadorea; Rhabditida; Rhabditidae. The record is from RNAcentral.